UUUCCAAAUGAGUCCAUCAAUGAUGAGAGGAUAGCUCUGAAGCAUGGGCUGGAAUAUAUUUCAACAGCUGUGAGAGAUAUUUCUCUCUAACCCUUCUAUUUUUCUGCCUCGGACUGUAUCCUGUUCAACGUUAAUAGUCUGAAUUGGAGUGAAUUAUCACGCGGUUUCGUCUCAGUUUUCAGAUCAAAUGUGAGGCGGCAACUGAACAGAAACAAACUCAAGGAAAUCAAUAAUUGUUGAGGAGGGGACUGUUUCAACCAUUAUUUCUAGCCGAUUGCGCAUUGGUGUGGACAACAUUUUUUGACGUAGGAACCACGGUUUUUAGGGGUUAAUACGAAAUUAGCUCUGUAAAAGACAAAGAAAGAUACGAACAGAGUGAAGUGUAGGCAUACUUUAUCAUGCAUGAGAAUGUUUUCCUCUCAAUAGUGAGUGCAUUCUUGGACUGAUAAACUGUCUGGUUGAUGGACGGCAACUUCAAGAAACAAUCAGGAAAGUAGCCUAGGUGCUAGCUGUCACCACAAUGAUAUAUGGCUCUAUAGGCUGACGGGAUGAAGAGCUGGGAGAUGGCGUGGCCGGUACACUGGGGCGGCCUCCUGCUCUGCAUAGUGAUCCUCUACAGCUAACCAGUGUCCACCGGCAACCACAGCCCCUUGGGGCAGUCGGGUUCAUCACAGGUAAAGACAGGUACCUGUGAAGUGGUGGAUGCCCAUCACUGCUGCAAUAAGAACAAGAUUGAGGAGCGCUCUCAAACUGUCAAGUGUUCCUGCUUCCCUGGCCAGGUCGCCGGGAAAACAAGAGCAAUGCCCUCUUGUGUUGAAGCAUCCAUCAUGCUUCAGAAGUGGUGGUGCCAGAUGCAGCCCUGUCUUAAAGGGAGAGGAGUGUAAAGUACUGCCGGAUCUCAAUGGCUGGUCCUGUAGCUCUGGAAACAAAGUCAAGACCACCAAGGUGAGUUUAUGUGAAGGGACAACAAAGGAAAUUAAAUUAAGGACCUUGAAUUCAUGCAUUAUUACAGUACAGUUGGAAGGCAAUGAAACCAACCUAUUCAGAAAACAAUCAUUAAAUGACAAGCAAACGAUACAUCUGUUUCGACUAGUAUUACAUCAAGGAAAUGGCACCAAUGAUACAUGCAUGUUUCAAAGUGGUCCCUGUGUAAAGAUGAUGAUAAAUAACCUAAUGAAAUGAUUGAUUGUUUUGAUAAAAGUAAGGAAUGUAAGCCCGCUCUCUCUCCCCCUCACCCCUCCCCAUGAAGCGUAAUUAUGUUUGCACAUCUAGCUAAUGCAAAAAUUGAAUGACAGCAUUUGUGCAGAAUCAUCACACGUGUUUACAGUACUUGCAAUAAGCCUUGCUUUAAUUAUAAAAUAUCCCACAAUCUGACAUGAUUACUGCUCCCAGUCAGUCACGGAGGGCUAAGCAAGCUUCAUUUGGUAAUUCUGUGGAAGAUGGGGCCAAGGGGACAAACAUGAAAUGAGACCGUUUUAUACAUGUAAACCAGCUGAUACAGAGAUCUAAAUGGGAUGUAAUUCAAUCUGACAGCCUUUCAUGCCAGUGGACAAACUGCUGCCUUUAGGAAUGUGCAAAUCUGUGAUGUCUUGCCUUUUAUCAGCUUGAAAUAUAUAUGCAGUAGGGAAACCUAUCAUGAGUCAACUUGAAGAGAAUAGAAAAACAGCUGAACAUAUACUGCAUAAAGUAAUUCAUUAAUAAAAAACGAAACAAACAUUCCAACAUGAAUCUUUCUGGAUAGGUAUACUAUACCCAUCUGAUGUUAUAGUUGCCUCAGGAAGAAACUCUGUUCUGCCAUUUCCCUGUCCACUAUAUACAGUAUGUCUAAGAUUUGGAUCAGGCAGUAGAAAUAAUGAUUUCUAGUGAAGGCUGUUGGUACAGGGUCACCCAGCAUUUAAUAGACCUUUCAGAAGUUCUUUGAUUGCACCCUGUUGCAGGAUUUGUUGUUGUUGUUGCUUUAAGUGUACUUGAGGUUUAAAAAGGCUUCUGCGGUUUGUAAAUUCCAAUUAAAAAUGUCAGUCUUUAAUUUUUCUUAUGAAAAAUGUAUCAACCCUUACACAAAUGUCCACUAAUUAGAAUCCACACAAUUAACUUUUCCUGUUGUUGCAGGAUUAUUUUCCUGCUGUAGCAAACUGGCUCUAAUUAAGAUUCUACAUCUGUACUACUUUUACCUUUUCCAGGUAGCGCAGUAACAAAACCCAUCUCAGCCAAUCGACUGAGACCCUGAAUGUGCCCUGGCCUACAGUAAAUCUCACUAGUUUUUAAGAUCUCGUUCAGUUCCUGGGAUACAAUUAGGAAUACACUCGCAAAUGAGCAGCUCUACCAGAUAAAUAAAGUGACUGGUGUGAAUGAAAAGGAGAACUCGAGGAAUUCAAGGAGCCUGUGCAAUAAAGUAUGUAUCCCUACUCCCCUGCCU
Long non-coding RNA from Oncorhynchus tshawytscha (Chinook salmon), 2416 nucleotides. RefSeq lists it as uncharacterized. NCBI's taxonomy places the organism in Eukaryota, Metazoa, Chordata, Actinopteri, Salmoniformes, Salmonidae. The transcript is spliced from 4 exons. The record is from RefSeq and is a predicted model, not a curated record.